CAUGAAGUCGGAAUCGCUAGUAAUCGUAGAUCAGAAUGCUACGGUGAAUACGUUCCCGGGCCUUGUACACACCGCCCGUCACACCAUGGGAGUGGGCUGCAAAAGAAGUGGGUAGUUUAACCUUUCGGGGAGGACGCUCACCACUUUGUGGUUCAUGACUGGGGUGAAGUCGUAACAAGGUAGCGCUAGGGGAACCUGGCGCUGGAUCACCUCCUUAUACGAAGAU
RNAcentral lists this ribosomal RNA (226 nucleotides) under Vibrio sp. B1-2. Its description in RNAcentral is "partial 16S ribosomal RNA". It matches the Rfam family "Bacterial small subunit ribosomal RNA", at positions 1319 to 1533 of the family's 1533-position model. Lineage: Bacteria; Pseudomonadati; Pseudomonadota; Gammaproteobacteria; Vibrionales; Vibrionaceae. The record is from RNAcentral.